This is a long non-coding RNA of Alosa alosa (allis shad), 675 nucleotides long. RefSeq lists it as uncharacterized. The transcript has 3 exons. NCBI's taxonomy places the organism in Eukaryota, Metazoa, Chordata, Actinopteri, Clupeiformes, Clupeidae. The record is from RefSeq and is a predicted model, not a curated record.
UGAAGUUAGAUGAAGUAAACAUGAAGGACACCGUUACAGAGAGCCCGUAUUGUAUAGAGUUAGAGCCCGUUUCAAGACAUAGAUACAAGGAGUUAAUUGACAAAUAUGUUGGACGUGACCCGUACCUCAUGAAGAUGAGUGAGUUUUCGGUGGAGCUUAAAGAUUUGCCGACAGUGGAGGCCGUUGACAUUACAAACUAUCUGGUCCUUCAGACAUGUAUUACACCAAACAGCAAAUGAAGGCCUAUAAAAGUAUGGAGGCAUAUAACUUUUUUGUCCACAACCUCGGCACCAAACGUCUCCACGACGAUCAUCAUUUAGUCUUCGCCAGGGUAAACCACUCUCAACGAUCAAGCGAAACACCUCUGAAGACUUAUUGCGAAGAAGGAUGGAGAAGUCAUUGCAGCUCAUUGCAAUUGCAUGGCAGGAUUAUCAGAAUCAUGUUCUCAUGUAGGAGCUGUGCUUUUUUCCAUUGAAGCUGGGGUAAAAAUGUGAGAUGCAGCUUCCUGCACAACAGAUCAGUGCAAGUGGCUGAUGCCAUCACAUGUAAAAAAGGUAGGGUGAUAAUUUACCUGUUGGGCAAAGAGGAGCUAAGACAGCAAAGACCCACAUAAACACAGUUUGGCAUCUCAAUCCUGUGAUGAUAGCCCUACCUGUUUUCCUCACAGCCAUCAGA